GCCAGGUGUGGUGGCACACACCUGUAAUCCCAGUGACUCAGGAGGUUGAGGCAGGAGGAUCUCAAGUUCAAGGCCAGCCUCAGCAAUUUAGAGAGACUGUCUCAA
This 105-nucleotide small RNA is filed under the name Marmota monax (woodchuck). Lineage: Eukaryota; Metazoa; Chordata; Mammalia; Rodentia; Sciuridae. The record is from RNAcentral.